CUCUAUUCAGACUGCCCAGGUCAACUGGGAGGAAGGUGGGGAUGACGUCAGGUCAGUAUGGCCCUUACGCCUUGGGCUGCACACGUACUACAAUGUCCAGUACAAUGAGAACCGAAACCGCGAGGUGGAGGAAAUCUACAAAACUGGGCCCAGUUCGGAUUGGAGGCUGCAACUCGCCUCCAUGAAGUUGGAAUCGCUAGUAAUGGCACAUCAACUACGGUGCCGUGAAUACGUUCCCGGGUCUU
This 245-nucleotide ribosomal RNA is filed under the name uncultured Verrucomicrobiales bacterium. RNAcentral describes it as "partial 16S ribosomal RNA". It matches the Rfam family "Bacterial small subunit ribosomal RNA", at positions 1138 to 1382 of the family's 1533-position model. The record is from RNAcentral. Lineage: Bacteria; Pseudomonadati; Verrucomicrobiota; Verrucomicrobiia; Verrucomicrobiales.